Molecule: long non-coding RNA, 211 nt
Filed under: Lathyrus oleraceus (garden pea)
Lineage: Eukaryota; Viridiplantae; Streptophyta; Magnoliopsida; Fabales; Fabaceae
Description: Pisum sativum (pea) long non-coding RNA (PSAT_LNC041746)
Source: RNAcentral
GGGAAGGUAAAAAGUUGAAAGGGUGUAACGUUCGUCUCCAACGGCUCCUUAACGUUCACCUAGUCUGAAGGGCGUUACGCCCGUUACAGCUGCAUGACAGGCGUCACAGGUACUUAGCGUGACGUCCGUGACAGACCUUGUGACGCUCGUCACGCUGUCUGUUUGGCAAUGGCUACAGCUAGCGUCCUUCAGAGUGACUUGGUAAUGUAUU